This is a non-coding RNA of Cricetulus griseus (Chinese hamster), 1667 nucleotides long. The record is from RefSeq and is a predicted model, not a curated record. NCBI's taxonomy places the organism in Eukaryota, Metazoa, Chordata, Mammalia, Rodentia, Cricetidae.
AUUGCUUUGGAGCCUGUCCUGGAACUCUCUCUGUAGACCAAGUUGGCCUUGAACUCAUAGAGAUCUGCCUGCCUCUACCUCCUGAGUGCUGAGAUUAAUGGUGUGCACCACCAAUGCCUGGCUCGAAGGGACCAUUGAUGAGUUAUUCCCAUUAUUAGGGAAAACAAAAGAACAUUUCCCACAAAGGAACCUUUAACAUUGAGUUAUUCCCACUCUGAGGGCAAAACAUUUUAAUCAAAAUUAAGCAAACAAACAACCAGACAAUCUAAGGUCUGGGCCGGCUGUGCUUGCUCAGGCUGCAGCAUUGAGGCUCCACCUGUCAUGCUUGGUAGUUCCUAUGUCUCCACUUUGCUGCAGGCCAGUCCCUGAAAGAGCUGACAGGCAGAGUGCAGCCAAAGAGAUCAGAGUUUCAGCUAGUCUUAAUUUCUUUCAUCAGAAGAGCCUUUUUUUUCUUCCUCAAUUUAUACUGGAAAGAGGUUUUUUUCGCUUAUUUUUUAUUUAUGGGGCCUUUUAAAUUUAGGCCUUGAGUCAUCAUUCCCCACCCCCACUUUUAACCAGGAAAAUCCUUUUGUCUGAUUAAACAUUUUCUCCUUUCAUCAAGAAAUUCCCUUUCCUUCCCUCUUCUCUACUGAGAAGAGCCUUGUUCCUCGAUUUAUUCUUUGUUCCAAGAGCCAUUUUACUUGUUGAUGCUCCAAUCCUGAGAUGGGGAAUUUAGGUCCCCCAUGUUCCAGCCCUAUCCUGGAGCCUCAUCUACUACUAUGGGUGUACCUUACCUCCAGUCUUGGGGUAUCCAGACCCUUCUUUCCUCAUGCCCACGUUGCUGAUCACCAAAUAUUGAGGUGUUCUGCAUAGUGCAGGUCAUUUGAAGACAGAAGACAUGCCAAAAUGAAAUUUUAAGAUCUAUGGGACAGCAGAAAGGGCCAGACUUGCUGAUGGACUGAACCCUGAAUAGCCAUACAAGGGUGUAUUUAUCCAUUGUUACACAAAGAAUUCCCUCAUACAAAGGUCCCCAAUCUAAUUUACAUGUCUUACUAAAGGAAAGCAUCACAGGCCUCCAUUACUUCAGUUCUUUAUUAUGUAUUGUUUGAAAUACACAAUAAUCCAAGAGCCUCAGGUGUGCCUGAGGUGUCUUGUGACCAAAGUCAUGGGAUGGCUGCAAUGUCCCUUCAGCAAAAGAUUUCUACAAAUCACUGAAAACAAUCUCUGUUUUCCCCAAGGAUUCUUUACUUUUUACCACAAUGAUACUUCAAGGUCAAAGUACUUCUAGACAACAACUGUUCACUCUAAUGUCUACCCCAGAUACAGUGACUACUAAAUUCUUACAACACACAUUUUUGACAGACAGUUUCUCUUUAGAAUGGAUUCUACAGUGUCUAUGUAAAGACGACCUGCCAGUGAAGCUUUCCCACAUUCGGUGCAGACAUGUGGCUCCUAUCCUGUGUGAAUUCAUUCAUGCUCUUUGAGGUCCCCUGUUGAGAGGAGAAAGACCCAAAGAAGUAGAUCUGAAGAACAGGAUGAAGGAGGAACUGCACAGAGAUCCACCUCCAUACAGGAAAUAUGAGCCACGGAAAUGACCAGAACACCUGGUCUCUCUGGGGGCAGCACCAAGGCUUAUGCCCCAGCUCAGGCAGGCCGGUGUUGGGCCAGGAGCCAGGAUCCAGUCCUCU